AGAUUUUGGUCAGGUUUCAUCAUAUAAAAAUAUAUCAAAGCAGCUGUCUACAGAAAAACAGAGUAUGGGCAGCACUGAGCUCCAGUUCUCUUAGCAGAUGUUCCAUUGUAAAAGCAUCCUAUUUAGGAUGAUAAGCAACAGAGGGGUUUCUAUGGUGCUAAGGAUACUUUUUGUGCUCAAUAGCAGCAGGAACUACUUGCUCUUUGGGGUGAAGCUGGCAGCCUCUGGCUAAAGAAACUAACUGGUCGCUGUCCAGAAUGCGAGAAUUUCAAAACAUAUGGUACCCAUAGAAAGGAUCUACCCACUUGCAACACAUUGAUUUAUCCUUAUUCCAUCUACUGUCUUCCAAAAAUCCCACAAUUGCUUUUAUUGCAAUUCAGCUCAGUUUCCUUCUCUGGAGGGAAAAUAUACGGCACUUUUGGAACAUAUGUGAGGCAAUGAUUCUGUUCCAAACUUCUGAAUUCUCCUUUAACCAUAGCCCAGGGAGUCAGCUAAGUUACCCAUAGGUACAGAGACACUUUCUCCAUGCUGCAUUUAUGGAUGUCCAGCAAGAAAGAGAGCACACACAUUUGAGGAAUAAGGAGGGGAAAGAGAGAUCUGACUCAGAGCUGCCUUGGAAGAGUCAGAUGAGGCACCAGGAGUACCCUAAACCUAUGGAGUUAACUUGUUUUAUUGGAGGUGAACAACUCAACCAAUGCAGGCAACGUUAACAACAACAACAAGAAGUAUAUGUUUGCAUCGUACAUCCAAUGACACGGUCAUAAACACAUGACUUCAAGACACCUCUUCUGAACCAUACCAUCCUCUAUGGGAGAUGAAAGAAGCAGGGCUUGUAGUCAUUUAGGAAAAGUAAGUCGAAAAUGCACAUCUAUGAGUUUAGCUAACAGUAGAUCUUUCCUUUCUUGGAUUCUACUUUUCUUAUUCAGAUAAAGUUAAAUCAUAGAAUCAUUAAGGCUGGAAAAAAUCACUAAGAUCAUGUAGUCCAACCAUCAGCCCAUCACCACCACGCCCGCUAAGUCAUGUCCCUCAAAGUUCUUCCCUCUAGUACACAGUCAUUUACCUGGGAGUUAUUUACUUUGCUAUUGACAGACAAGUAUACAAGAGACUGUGCUUUUCUUUCUACUGGAUACAGUCCUUCUGAGCUUCCAAAGAAAACUCCUCCCUGUAUCACCCACUGCACAUUCAGUUUGGGACUGUGACUUCUCUGAAAUAUCUUGCCGUAUAAUUUCUUGGAACAAAGGGGGAAGAACCUAAUGCCAUACACAUGGGAACAUGGCUACACAGAGAUAAUGCAUGUCUGCUUCAGACUUGUAACAGCAAGUGUUUUUUUUAUUGCUUUCAUAUCGAAAUGUCCAUAUAUGGGAUGUUACUGGAAAUCAUGUGACUUCCUGAGGUUUUGCUUCCAAUUCUUGUAAACACAUACAAGAAUUUCACUUUCUGAUUUCUGGAAACCAAAAGUGAGGUGCUUCUCAGUAAAUUUUUUGCCCUACAGAAACUAAUGUUCAUGUAAAUAAUCCUUCUAACCUGUGCUAAACUUUAAAAACUGCACUACUCAGCCACAGCCUGCCUUUGUAAAGCUUGGAUGCGCUGGCACGAAGGUCCCUUCCUUCUGUCUGGCAUGAAUCAGAGCACCUUGCAGCAGCUCUGAGAUGUGCUCUGAUCCCUGCAGCCAACGAUGGGCCCAACCACUGGCAGUGUUCCCCAAAGGAGCCUACAGAAUGAGUUGUUUGUGCCUCUCCUGCCCCCUUUCUACAGACCCGGAGAGCUGUCAGGACAUCGGAUUAACCGCAAAUAGGAAUCAAGUCCUGCCCCUGGAGUGACUAAGAGGCACGUCUAAGAUCAUCACAGACCUCAAGCAAAUACUGCAAAAGCCACGAUUAAGUCACUGAUGUGAAUGAGCUACCCUGCUGAAUCCUGCAGCCCCUUGUCUUGACUAUAACUCCUGCAAUCAACACAAGCAUCCAGAAUUAGGCCUCAAAACUGCACUGAAAGAAAAGGGCACAAAUGCGUGGUGCAAACAGCCCUUCUCCUCACUGUCAAAAUGCGAGGCUGCAAGGGAGAGCAGUCAGUUCUAAUGCAUGACCAGGAGCUGCUGUAAAAUUCCUUGCAGAAACAAGAGACCUAUUAUGUUUAUCACCAAUUUGCUAAGUAAGGUUAAUACUCUGGCAUUGACCCUGCCUCACAUGCCCUUAGAAGCACUACCAAGCUUUGUCCCACUAAGAUUUUACAGUAGAAGAGAUAACACGCAGUCAAUAACCCAUUUUAAACAGGUAGUUUUCUUUCCCCCCCUUCACCCUCAUGCCUUCGCAGCAGGGAAGAUAAUGCUCUCACCAAAGAACCUAUUUCCAGCGCCUGUAACCAGCUUAUGGCCAUGGAAACAGAGACCCAUCAGCCACUGUGGUCAGAUGAAUAGCCUCUGUGAAUAUCAACAUCAUCAUAAAUCAUUCAGUUGCUGAAA
This is a long non-coding RNA of Numida meleagris (helmeted guineafowl), 2458 nucleotides long. RefSeq lists it as uncharacterized. The transcript has 3 exons. The record is from RefSeq and is a predicted model, not a curated record. NCBI's taxonomy places the organism in Eukaryota, Metazoa, Chordata, Aves, Galliformes, Numididae.